Molecule: ribosomal RNA, 252 nt
Filed under: uncultured bacterium
Lineage: Bacteria
Description: partial 16S ribosomal RNA
Rfam family: Bacterial small subunit ribosomal RNA
Source: RNAcentral
UACGGAGGAUGCGAGCGUUAUCCGGAUUUAUUGGGUUUAAAGGGUGCGUAGGCGGGCUUUUAAGUCAGCGGUAAAAAUUCGGGGCUCAACCCCGUCCGGCCGUUGAAACUGGGGGCCUUGAGUGGGCGAGAAGAAGGCGGAAUGCGUGGUGUAGCGGUGAAAUGCAUAGAUAUCACGCAGAACCCCGAUUGCGAAGGCAGCCUUCCGGCGCCCUACUGACGCUGAGGCACGAAAGUGCGGGGAUCGAGCAGG